This 253-nucleotide ribosomal RNA is filed under the name uncultured bacterium. Its description in RNAcentral is "partial 16S ribosomal RNA". It matches the Rfam family "Bacterial small subunit ribosomal RNA", at positions 524 to 776 of the family's 1533-position model. The record is from RNAcentral.
UACGUAGGGGGCAAGCGUUGUCCGGAAUCAUUGGGCGUAAAGCGCGCGUAGGCGGCCCGGUAAGUCCGCUCUGAAAGUCCAGGGCUCAACCCUGGAAAGCGGGUGGAUACUGCCGGGCUAGAAUCCGGAAGAGGCGAGUGGAAUUCCUGGUGUAGCGGUGGAAUGCGCAGAUAUCAGGAGGAACACCAGUGGCGAAGGCGACUGACUGGACAUGUAUUGACGCUGAGGUGCGAAAGCGUGGAGAGCAAACAGG